Propithecus coquereli (Coquerel's sifaka) is the source of this 1063-nucleotide long non-coding RNA. RefSeq lists it as uncharacterized. The record is from RefSeq and is a predicted model, not a curated record. The transcript is spliced from 4 exons. Lineage: Eukaryota; Metazoa; Chordata; Mammalia; Primates; Indriidae.
AGGGCUGCUCUCUUCAGGAUGGUGCCUUGUUGCUGCGCCCUCACGUCCUCACGUGGUGAAGGCGGAACAGCAGGUCCCCAAGCACGUGCAGCAAUGAUACAGCACAGCACCUGCUUCCAGCAGCCCUGAGCGGCGGGGCUAAGUGGAAAGAGUCAGCAUUUCUCUUUUGGGUUCCCUGCCACUCCAAUUUGUUGGCCUGUCCACGAAGGAGUAUGAGUACACUUCUUGGGGAAUGAGAAAAACAAUGGCAAACAUGUGUGGUCUAUUCAUCAAGAUGAAGUCACAGUCUGUAUUCUAAGAAUUAGUAAUCAAGGUCACAAUGAAAGAAAAAAGACUUUCUGGGAAGGUGAAAGGAAAAAUUGAUCCACGCUACCCGGGAGGCUGACAUACUUGGCUAUAUCCACUGGCUCCCUUGCCUCUGGCUUUCCCCCAGGUGUGGCCGCUACAGAUCCCUGGGAGGAGACUGGAGAUUAGGGAGAGGAUGAAGUCAAGGUGUUUAUUCCCUUAGCUCCCUCCCUGAAGUUGCCACAGACCAUGUGAGUCCCUGGACUGAAGGUCACGGCUUCUCUACGGGGCCUUCUCCACAUGACCUUUCUCCCUAAACCGUGGGUGGUACUGCACAGCUGCUACUAGCUUUUGGUUAUUGCCUUCUCUCUUGUGACGUCCCUGUGCCCUAUCUACACUGUUGUAAAUACCUCCCUCUUUCAAUUAUCCUAGUUUGAGCUUACUACUUGUUUCUUGCUGGUAACCUGACUGAUACAGUAAUCGAUACUGGAAGUUGCACCAGGAAAUAGAUCCUCAAAAUGGGAUUCUGGGAUUGGACAGUCCUGUUUGAGGAGCUGAAGGAUGGAAAUGGACCCUAGUGAUUGGCAUGCAGUAGCAUCACACUGAUUCAAGUUAUCAGUGAUCAUAGCAUGGGAUGAAGUGUCGGUGAAGGACAGGACAUGGGAAGAUCAAGUAACUGGGGCUGCCUUUCUCCAUUUCCUGAUGCUAUUACAGAAUACCACAGGCCGGGUAAUUUAUAAAUAGAAGUUUAUUUGACUCACAGUUCUGGAGCUGGGAA